Molecule: ribosomal RNA, 306 nt
Filed under: Escherichia coli
Lineage: Bacteria; Pseudomonadati; Pseudomonadota; Gammaproteobacteria; Enterobacterales; Enterobacteriaceae
Description: partial 16S ribosomal RNA
Rfam family: Bacterial small subunit ribosomal RNA
Source: RNAcentral
AAAUUGAAGAGUUUGAUCAUGGCUCAGAUUGAACGCUGGCGGCAGGCCUAACACAUGCAAGUCGAACGGUAACAGGAAGAAGCUUGCUUCUUUGCUGACGAGUGGCGGACGGGUGAGUAAUGUCUGGGAAACUGCCUGAUGGAGGGGGAUAACUACUGGAAACGGUAGCUAAUACCGCAUAACGUCGCAAGACCAAAGAGGGGGACCUUCGGGCCUCUUGCCAUCGGAUGUGCCCAGAUGGGAUUAGCUUGUUGGUGGGGUAACGGCUCACCAAGGCGACGAUCCCUAGCUGGUCUGAGAGGAUGA